GGGUAGUUUGACUGGGGCGGUCUCCUCCCAAAGAGUAACGGAGGAGCACGAAGGUUAGCUAAUCCUGGUCGGACAUCAGGAGGUUAGUGCAAUGGCAUAAGCUAGCUUGACUGCGAGCGUGACGGCGCGAGCAGGUGCGAAAGCAGGUCAUAGUGAUCCGGUGGUUCUGAAUGGAAGGGCCAUCGCUCAACGGAUAAAAGGUACUCCGGGGAUAACAGGCUGAUACCGCCCAAGAGUUCAUAUCGACGGCGGUGUUUGGCACCUCGAUGUCGGCUCAUCACAUCCUGGGGCUGAAGUAGGUCCCAAGGGUAUGGCUGUUCGCCAUUUAAAGUGGUACGCGAGCUGGGUUUAGAACGUCGUGAGACAGUUCGGUCCCUAUCUGCCGUGGGCGCUGGAGAAUUG
Molecule: ribosomal RNA, 402 nt
Filed under: Klebsiella aerogenes
Lineage: Bacteria; Pseudomonadati; Pseudomonadota; Gammaproteobacteria; Enterobacterales; Enterobacteriaceae
Description: partial 23S ribosomal RNA
Rfam family: Bacterial large subunit ribosomal RNA
Source: RNAcentral